RNAcentral lists this ribosomal RNA (945 nucleotides) under Climacodon septentrionalis. RNAcentral describes it as "eukaryotic LSU rRNA". It matches the Rfam family "Eukaryotic large subunit ribosomal RNA", at positions 34 to 961 of the family's 3401-position model. Lineage: Eukaryota; Fungi; Basidiomycota; Agaricomycetes; Polyporales; Meruliaceae. The record is from RNAcentral.
UUAAGCAUAUCAAUAAGCGGAGGAAAAGAAACUAACAAGGAUUCCCCUAGUAACUGCGAGUGAAGCGGGAAAAGCUCAAAUUUAAAAUCUGGCGGUCUUUGACUGUCCGAGUUGUAGUCUGGAGAAGUGUUUUCCGUGCUGGACCGUGUACAAGUCUCUUGGAACAGAGCGUCAUAGAGGGUGAGAAUCCCGUCUUUGACACGGACUACCAGUGCUUUGUGAUGCGCUCUCAAAGAGUCGAGUUGUUUGGGAAUGCAGCUCAAAAUGGGUGGUAAAUUCCAUCUAAAGCUAAAUAUUGGCGAGAGACCGAUAGCGAACAAGUACCGUGAGGGAAAGAUGAAAAGCACUUUGGAAAGAGAGUUAAACAGUACGUGAAAUUGCUGAAAGGGAAACGCUUGAAGUCAGUCACGUUGUUCAGAACUCAACCUGGCUUUUUUGCUUGGUGCAUUUUCUGAUUAACGGGUCAGCAUCAGUUUUGACUGUUGGAAAAAUUCCAUUGGAAUGUGGCACCUUCAAAGGUGUGUUAUAGCCUUUGGUUGUAUGCGACAGUUGGGACUGAGGAUUGCAGCACGCCUUUAUGGCCGGGGUUCGCCCACGUACGUGCUUAGGAUGCUGGCGUAAUGGCUUUAAGCGACCCGUCUUGAAACACGGACCAAGGAGUCUAACAUGCCUGCGAGUGUUUGGGUGGCAAACCCGAGUGCGCAAUGAAAGUGAAAGUUGGGAUCCCUGUCAUGGGGAGCACCGACGCCCAUACCAGACCUUCUGUGACGGAUAUGCGGUGGAGCAUGUAUGUUGGGACCCGAAAGAUGGUGAACUAUGCCUGAAUAGGGUGAAGCCAGAGGAAACUCUGGUGGAGGCUCGUAGCGAUUCUGACGUGCAAAUCGAUCGUCAAAUUUGGGUAUAGGGGCGAAAGACUAAUCGAACCAUCUAGUAGCUGGUUCCUGC